UAGGAAUAGGGUCAUCUGUAAACGAGGGACCUAAAAUAAAUUGAGAAGGGUCCGAUAUAACGUAUUGUCUAAGUAAAGUAUAAUUGAGAGAUGGAGAAGAAGGAAGAUGAGGAAGCGGAGCCAUUAGAGAAGACAAAAGAAGAAGAAAGAACAAAAGGAGUCUCAGGCAAAGAGGAUGAAGAAAGAAAAGCAAAGGAAAAAGAGAGGAAAAGGGAAGCAUAGGAAAGAAGAAAACAAAAGAGACAAAAGAAAAGGGCCGCCGGAUAGAAUUCCGAAAAAAGAGGCUAAAAGAUGAAGAGACGGCGGCAAUAAAUGA
RNAcentral lists this long non-coding RNA (316 nucleotides) under Ananas comosus (pineapple). RNAcentral describes it as "long non-coding RNA (ACOM_LNC013592)". Lineage: Eukaryota; Viridiplantae; Streptophyta; Magnoliopsida; Poales; Bromeliaceae. The record is from RNAcentral.